Molecule: ribosomal RNA, 116 nt
Filed under: Enterobacter hormaechei
Lineage: Bacteria; Pseudomonadati; Pseudomonadota; Gammaproteobacteria; Enterobacterales; Enterobacteriaceae
Also listed under: 1 other name
Source: RNAcentral
CCUGGCGGCUUUAGCGCGGUGGUCCCACCUGACCCCAUGCCGAACUCAGAAGUGAAACGCCGUAGCGCCGAUGGUAGUGUGGGGUCUCCCCAUGUGAGAGUUGGGAACUGCCAGGC